Molecule: transfer RNA, 71 nt
Filed under: Agrilus planipennis (emerald ash borer)
Lineage: Eukaryota; Metazoa; Arthropoda; Insecta; Coleoptera; Buprestidae
Rfam family: tRNA
About the family: Transfer RNA (tRNA) molecules are approximately 80 nucleotides in length.
Source: Rfam by way of RNAcentral
CUCCUCGUAGCUUAAUGAUAGACUACUGGUCCGUAAAACCAGGGGCCAGGGUUCGAUUCCCGGCGAGGAAG